GGGGGAGGAUAGGGUCCGGUGGCUCUACUGGACUUCAAAUCCAGCUUCUGGCGUCAACGUCGGAGGUGGGUUCGACUCCCACCCUCCCCCGCCA
Molecule: transfer RNA, 94 nt
Filed under: Candidatus Poribacteria bacterium
Lineage: Bacteria; Candidatus Poribacteria
Description: tRNA-Sec
Rfam family: Selenocysteine transfer RNA
Source: RNAcentral